AUUUGUCUUUUAAAUGGAGACUCGUAUGAACGGCGAAACCUUUUUCAACUGUCUCCCCUCCCACCCUUUUAAAUUUCUUCCUGUGUGAAGAAGCACAGAUAUAUUAGAAAGACGAGAAGACCCUGUCGAGCUUUAGUCACCAAGUGGACCGCUCCCUUUUAAGGUACCACCUAAAGGCUUUGGUUGGGGCAACCAUGGAGAAAAAAAAUCCUCCAGAACAAAUAGAAGAAAACCCUUCACUAUUUAUUAAACUUAAGAACCAGGAACUGGNUAUUCGGAAAAAGUUACCGCAGGGAUAACAGCGUCAUCUCCUCUAAGAGUCCUUAUUGACGAGGAGGUUUGCGACCUCGAUGUUGGAUUGGGGCCCCCUUAGGGUGCAGAAGCUCUAAAUGGUUAGACUGUUCGUCUAUUAAAGCCCUACAUGAUCUGAGU
This 432-nucleotide ribosomal RNA is filed under the name Holothuria poli. RNAcentral's name for it is "partial 16S ribosomal RNA". It matches the Rfam family "Bacterial large subunit ribosomal RNA", at positions 1967 to 2610 of the family's 2925-position model. The record is from RNAcentral. Lineage: Eukaryota; Metazoa; Echinodermata; Holothuroidea; Aspidochirotida; Holothuriidae.